GCUUCUGUAGCUCAGUGGUAGAGCGCAUCCUUGGUAAGGAUGAGGUCGCGGGUUCAAGUCCCGCCAGAAGCU
This 72-nucleotide transfer RNA is filed under the name Akkermansia sp. RNAcentral's name for it is "tRNA-Thr". It matches the Rfam family "tRNA". Rfam says of the family: Transfer RNA (tRNA) molecules are approximately 80 nucleotides in length. Their secondary structure includes four short double-helical elements and three loops (D, anti-codon, and T loops). Lineage: Bacteria; Pseudomonadati; Verrucomicrobiota; Verrucomicrobiia; Verrucomicrobiales; Akkermansiaceae. The record is from RNAcentral.